AGACUAGUGAACAUCUGUCAACUUUAAACUUCUUUAAAUUAUUAGGUAUCAUUAUACAAUAGCUUGCAGAGUAACAUCACUUGCGGACACGGAUUCGGAAGAAGCGCUGCGACGCCAGAUUCCAUAAAUUUGACGUCUAUUGAUUCCUUCUUCGGAUCAGAAUGAUUGUAUUCCUAAAUUAAUUUAUAUUUAUAAAACACUGAACUGAAAAGAAAUAAGUAAAGAAGAACCCACGACUUUGUGUUUUCCAUUUAACCAAAUAAACAUUUGGAGGAAAAGUACAUAAA
Molecule: long non-coding RNA, 287 nt
Organism: Dreissena polymorpha
Lineage: Eukaryota; Metazoa; Mollusca; Bivalvia; Myida; Dreissenidae
Exons: 3
Source: RefSeq, a predicted model, not a curated record